GGGUUGUGAGGUUAAGCGACUAAGCGUACACGGUGGAUGCCCUGGCAGUCAGAGGCGAUGAAGGACGUGCUAAUCUGCGAUAAGCGUCGGUAAGGUGAUAUGAACCGUUAUAACCGGCGAUUUCCGAAUGGGGAAACCCAGUGUGUUUCGACACACUAUCAUUAACUGAAUCCAUAGGUUAAUGAGGCGAACCGGGGGAACUGAAACAUCUAAGUACCCCGAGGAAAAGAAAUCAACCGAGAUUCCCCCAGUAGCGGCGAGCGAACGGGGAGCAGCCCAGAGCCUGAAUCAGUAUGUGUGUUAGUGGAAGCGUCUGGAAAGGCGCGCGAUACAGGGUGACAGCCCCGUACACAAAAAUGCACAUGCUGUGAGCUCGAUGAGUAGGGCGGGACACGUGGUAUCCUGUCUGAAUAUGGGGGGACCAUCCUCCAAGGCUAAAUACUCCUGACUGACCGAUAGUGAACCAGUACCGUGAGGGAAAGGCGAAAAGAACCCCGGCGAGGGGAGUGAAAAAGAACCUGAAACCGUGUACGUACAAGCAGUGGGAGCACGCUUAGGCGUGUGACUGCGUACCUUUUGUAUAAUGGGUCAGCGACUUAUAUUCUGUAGCAAGGUUAACCGAAUAGGGGAGCCGAAGGGAAACCGAGUCUUAACUGGGCGUUAAGUUGCAGGGUAUAGACCCGAAACCCGGUGAUCUAGCCAUGGGCAGGUUGAAGGUUGGGUAACACUAACUGGAGGACCGAACCGACUAAUGUUGAAAAAUUAGCGGAUGACUUGUGGCUGGGGGUGAAAGGCCAAUCAAACCGGGAGAUAGCUGGUUCUCCCCGAAAGCUAUUUAGGUAGCGCCUCGUGAAUUCAUCUCCGGGGGUAGAGCACUGUUUCGGCAAGGGGGUCAUCCCGACUUACCAACCCGAUGCAAACUGCGAAUACCGGAGAAUGUUAUCACGGGAGACACACGGCGGGUGCUAACGUCCGUCGUGAAGAGGGAAACAACCCAGACCGCCAGCUAAGGUCCCAAAGUCAUGGUUAAGUGGGAAACGAUGUGGGAAGGCCCAGACAGCCAGGAUGUUGGCUUAGAAGCAGCCAUCAUUUAAAGAAAGCGUAAUAGCUCACUGGUCGAGUCGGCCUGCGCGGAAGAUGUAACGGGGCUAAACCAUGCACCGAAGCUGCGGCAGCGACGCUGAUGCGUUGUUGGGUAGGGGAGCGUUCUGUAAGCCUGCGAAGGUGUGCUGUGAGGCAUGCUGGAGGUAUCAGAAGUGCGAAUGCUGACAUAAGUAACGAUAAAGCGGGUGAAAAGCCCGCUCGCCGGAAGACCAAGGGUUCCUGUCCAACGUUAAUCGGGGCAGGGUGAGUCGACCCCUAAGGCGAGGCCGAAAGGCGUAGUCGAUGGGAAACAGGUUAAUAUUCCUGUACUUGGUGUUACUGCGAAGGGGGGACGGAGAAGGCUAUGUUGGCCGGGCGACGGUUGUCCCGGUUUAAGCGUGUAGGCUGGUUUUCCAGGCAAAUCCGGAAAACUAAGGCUGAGGCGUGAUGACGAGGCACUACGGUGCUGAAGCAACAAAUGCCCUGCUUCCAGGAAAAGCCUCUAAGCAUCAGGUAACAUCAAAUCGUACCCCAAACCGACACAGGUGGUCAGGUAGAGAAUACCAAGGCGCUUGAGAGAACUCGGGUGAAGGAACUAGGCAAAAUGGUGCCGUAACUUCGGGAGAAGGCACGCUGAUAUGUAGGUGAAGUCCCUCGCGGAUGGAGCUGAAAUCAGUCGAAGAUACCAGCUGGCUGCAACUGUUUAUUAAAAACACAGCACUGUGCAAACACGAAAGUGGACGUAUACGGUGUGACGCCUGCCCGGUGCCGGAAGGUUAAUUGAUGGGGUUAGCGCAAGCGAAGCUCUUGAUCGAAGCCCCGGUAAACGGCGGCCGUAACUAUAACGGUCCUAAGGUAGCGAAAUUCCUUGUCGGGUAAGUUCCGACCUGCACGAAUGGCGUAAUGAUGGCCAGGCUGUCUCCACCCGAGACUCAGUGAAAUUGAACUCGCUGUGAAGAUGCAGUGUACCCGCGGCAAGACGGAAAGACCCCGUGAACCUUUACUAUAGCUUGACACUGAACAUUGAGCCUUGAUGUGUAGGAUAGGUGGGAGGCUUUGAAGUGUGGACGCCAGUCUGCAUGGAGCCGACCUUGAAAUACCACCCUUUAAUGUUUGAUGUUCUAACGUUGACCCGUAAUCCGGGUUGCGGACAGUGUCUGGUGGGUAGUUUGACUGGGGCGGUCUCCUCCUAAAGAGUAACGGAGGAGCACGAAGGUUGGCUAAUCCUGGUCGGACAUCAGGAGGUUAGUGCAAUGGCAUAAGCCAGCUUGACUGCGAGCGUGACGGCGCGAGCAGGUGCGAAAGCAGGUCAUAGUGAUCCGGUGGUUCUGAAUGGAAGGGCCAUCGCUCAACGGAUAAAAGGUACUCCGGGGAUAACAGGCUGAUACCGCCCAAGAGUUCAUAUCGACGGCGGUGUUUGGCACCUCGAUGUCGGCUCAUCACAUCCUGGGGCUGAAGUAGGUCCCAAGGGUAUGGCUGUUCGCCAUUUAAAGUGGUACGCGAGCUGGGUUUAGAACGUCGUGAGACAGUUCGGUCCCUAUCUGCCGUGGGCGCUGGAGAACUGAGGGGGGCUGCUCCUAGUACGAGAGGACCGGAGUGGACGCAUCACUGGUGUUCGGGUUGUCAUGCCAAUGGCACUGCCCGGUAGCUAAAUGCGGAAGAGAUAAGUGCUGAAAGCAUCUAAGCACGAAACUUGCCCCGAGAUGAGUUCUCCCUGACUCCUUGAGAGUCCUGAAGGAACGUUGAAGACGACGACGUUGAUAGGCCGGGUGUGUAAGCGCAGCGAUGCGUUGAGCUAACCGGUACUAAUGAACCGUGAGGCUUAACCUUACAACGCCGAAGCUGUU
Molecule: ribosomal RNA, 2930 nt
Filed under: Escherichia coli
Lineage: Bacteria; Pseudomonadati; Pseudomonadota; Gammaproteobacteria; Enterobacterales; Enterobacteriaceae
Description: bacterial LSU rRNA
Rfam family: Bacterial large subunit ribosomal RNA
Source: RNAcentral